Molecule: ribosomal RNA, 87 nt
Filed under: Bacteroidales bacterium
Lineage: Bacteria; Pseudomonadati; Bacteroidota; Bacteroidia; Bacteroidales
Description: partial 16S ribosomal RNA
Rfam family: Bacterial small subunit ribosomal RNA
Source: RNAcentral
AAGGAGCGGCCUAGGGUAAAACCGGUAACUGGGGCUAAGUCGUAACAAGGUAGCCGUACCGGAAGGUGUGGCUGGAAUACCUCCUUU